UACGGAGGGUGCAAGCGUUAAUCGGAAUUACUGGGCGUAAAGCGCACGCAGGCGGUUGAUUAAGUCAGAUGUGAAAUCCCCGAGCUUAACUUGGGAACUGCAUUUGAAACUGGUCAGCUAGAGUCUUGUAGAGGGGGGUAGAAUUCCAGGUGUAGCGGUGAAAUGCGUAGAGAUCUGGAGGAAUACCGGUGGCGAAGGCGGCCCCCUGGACAAAGACUGACGCUCAGGUGCGAAAGCGUGGGGAGCAAACAGG
Molecule: ribosomal RNA, 253 nt
Filed under: uncultured bacterium
Lineage: Bacteria
Description: partial 16S ribosomal RNA
Rfam family: Bacterial small subunit ribosomal RNA
Source: RNAcentral